This 454-nucleotide ribosomal RNA is filed under the name uncultured bacterium. Its description in RNAcentral is "bacterial SSU rRNA". It matches the Rfam family "Bacterial small subunit ribosomal RNA", at positions 340 to 786 of the family's 1533-position model. The record is from RNAcentral.
UACGGAAGGCAGCAGUGGGGAAUAUUGCACAAUGGGCGCAAGCCUGAUGCAGCCAUGCCGCGUGUAUGAAGAAGGCCUUCGGGUUGUAAAGUACUUUCAGUCGUGAGGAAGGUGUUAAGGUUAAUAACCUUAGCAAUUGACGUUAGCGACAGAAGAAGCACCGGCUAACUCCGUGCCAGCAGCCGCGGUAAUACGGAGGGUGCGAGCGUUAAUCGGAAUUACUGGGCGUAAAGGGCACGCAGGCGGUUAAUUAAGUUGGAUGUGAAAUCCCCGGGCUUAACCUGGGAAUGGCAUUCAAGACUGGUUAGCUAGAGUCUUGUAGAGGGGGUAGAAUUCCAUGUGUAGCGGUGAAAUGCGUAGAGAUGUGGAGGAAUACCGGGUGGCGAAGGCGGCCCCUGGGACAAAGACUGACGCUCAUGUGCGAAAGCGUGGGGAGCAAACAGGAUUAGAUACC